Molecule: ribosomal RNA, 482 nt
Filed under: uncultured bacterium
Lineage: Bacteria
Description: partial 16S ribosomal RNA
Rfam family: Bacterial small subunit ribosomal RNA
Source: RNAcentral
AUUGAACGCUGGCGGCAUGCCUUACACAUGCAAAUCGAACGGUAACGGGCCUUCGGGUGCCGACGAGUGGCGAACGGGUGAGUAAUACAUCGGAACGUGCCCGAUCGUGGGGGAUAACGAGGCGAAAGCUUUGCUAAUACCGCAUACGAUCUACGGAUGAAAGCAGGGGACCGCAAGGCCUUGCGGGGACGGAGCGGCCGAUGGCAGAUUAGGUAGUUGGUGGGAUAAAAGCUUACCAAGCCGACGAUCUGUAGCUGGUCUGAGAGGAUGAUCAGCCACACUGGGACUGAGACACGGCCCAGACUCCUACGGGAGGCAGCAGUGGGGAAUUUUGGACAAUGGGCGCAAGCCUGAUCCAGCCAUGCCGCGUGCAGGAUGAAGGCCUUCGGGUUGUAAACUGAUUUUGUACGGAACGAAAAGCCUUCUUUUAAUACAGGAGGGUCAUGACGGUACCGUAAGAAUAAGCACCGGCUAACUACGUG